GUUCAGCAAGAAGAGAGGCGACCUGAGCUGUAGCAGCUUGUGGACGUUUGUGGAUAAGGCCAGGCUGUCAUGAGCUGAAGUGAGCUGUAAAGUUAAAGGAGCAUGGACCAUGUAUCUGGUCUGAUACAUGGGAAGGUUCAUAGGAGCCUAUAAGCAGCCAAUCAGAAGCCAGCCCUUGCCUUGACCAGAUUUGAAUUAACCAAUUAGACACCAUCAUCUAUCAUCCAAUCACAAGACAUCACACAGAUUGCAAACUCACCCUCCAUCCUAGCCAUCCAUUCAUCUCAAGUUAUUUCUAUCCAUUAGAUUAAGGGUUUAUGUAAUUGCAAAGUGUAAAGCCUAUAUAAAGGCUAUGUAGUGGCGACGUGUAACCCUAAGGGAGUAAGGGGGAGUUCCCCUCUCCACUUCAUGAAUGAUAAACUUGUUCUUGAAUCUGAAACCCUAAUCUCUAAUCUCUUAUUCUCCUAAUCUCUCAGUCUCUUAAUCUCUGUUCCUAAGUCUCUUAUUCUCUCAUAAACACUCUCAUCAAUCUCUCUUUCUAAAUCACCUAGAACAAGCUCUCAUCUUUCUCCAUUGGAGGUUAUACACACACACAUACAACCAGAGAAGAGAACUCUACAAAUCUCAUAUGGUAUCAGAGCCAGGUUCAUCAGAACCUGAGAUGUAACUUCCGCAAAGCACUUGCUCCCAUCUCAGCUCAAACCAAAGCGUAGAAGA
RNAcentral lists this long non-coding RNA (717 nucleotides) under Brassica napus (rape). RNAcentral's name for it is "long non-coding RNA (BNAP_LNC014250)". The record is from RNAcentral. Lineage: Eukaryota; Viridiplantae; Streptophyta; Magnoliopsida; Brassicales; Brassicaceae.